CAAUAGCGUAUAUUAAAGUUGUUGCAGUUAAAAAGCUCGUAGUUGGAUUUCUGGUUGAAGCGACCGGUCGGGCGUUGAUUCGUCUGCACUGGAGUCGGUUUUGGCCAUCCUCUAGGAAAGUGCGUCUGGUAUUAAGUUAUCGGGCGUAUGAUCCUGGUCUUUUACUGUGAAAAAAUUAGAGUGUUUAAAGCAGGCCUUCGCCUUGAAUACAUUAGCAUGGAAUAAUAAGAUAGGACUUUGGUCUAUUUUGUUGGUUUGCAGACCGAAGUAAUGAUUAAUAGGGAUAGUUGGGGGUAUUUAUAUUCCGAUGUCAGAGGUGAAAUUCUUAGAUUUUCGGAAGAUAAACUUAUGCGAAAGCAUUUACCAAGGAUGUUUNCAUUAA
Molecule: ribosomal RNA, 382 nt
Filed under: uncultured eukaryote
Lineage: Eukaryota
Description: partial 18S ribosomal RNA
Rfam family: Eukaryotic small subunit ribosomal RNA
Source: RNAcentral